UACGUAGGGGGCAAGCGUUGUCCGGAUUUACUGGGUGUAAAGGGCGCGUAGGCGGAUUUGUAAGUCGGUGGUGAAAUCCUGCAGCUUAACUGCAGAACUGCCGCCGAUACUGCAUAUCUUGAGUUCGGAAGAGAGAAGCGGAAUUCCAGGUGUAGUAGUGAAAUACGUAGAUAUCUGGAAGAACACCAGUGGCGAAGGCGGCUUCUUGGUCCGUAACUGACGCUGAGGCGCGAAAGCGUGGGGAG
RNAcentral lists this ribosomal RNA (245 nucleotides) under uncultured bacterium. RNAcentral describes it as "partial 16S ribosomal RNA". It matches the Rfam family "Bacterial small subunit ribosomal RNA", at positions 524 to 768 of the family's 1533-position model. The record is from RNAcentral.